CGCUCGGGCGCUUUUCCUCCAGGAAGCCAAGCCGCUGCGGUGCGCUUUGGCUACCUGGGAGGGAAAGGGGAAGGAAAUUCUCUCUACCCCCCGGCUUUCUCUUCCCUUCCCCCCAUUUGGGAAACGAGUAGAGGUAUUGAAAUUUAAAGGAGAUUUUCAAAGGCCGCUGUCGAAGGAUGCUAAUAGGAGUUGCAAGACAGACGCAUUAGGAAGAGGGAAUUUCCCACGGAAAGCUUUGUAAUGAGCUAACGAGACGCGUUCCCCCACCUCACCUUUGGAGGGGAGGGGAAAACAGAGCUUGAAUUACGCAUUUAAUUUCCCCUGCGCUCGUUCCCAAAUGGGAAAAGCUGAUGGGUCUCGAUAGGAUCGGGAUUUCUGGUUUCAAGGUUUAACGUUGUGCGCGCUCCCCUGCUUGCAGACCCCGCAGCUACUCCCACCGCACAUCCUCUCGCCGGUCUUCGCGUCUGCGUCUCCCUCCCGCUGUUGGCGCGUUGCUUCGGUUUAUCCAGGUCUCCAACUCGCCCAAUACCUGGAUCAACACAACGAAAGCACAGAAAGUGGACAAACAGAAGGAGAACAACUAUGAAGGCUCAUGAAAACUCAUGAUUUAAAGAUCACAUUUCUCCACCUGGACUGAUUUAAGAAUUGAGGUUAGUUGACUACUAUUAGCAAGACUUGCAAUUAUGGCAUGCAGGCACAUCCUCUUCUGUUCACUUGAGUUAUUUCUGUAUAGCAGUAGAUCAUGAGGACAUGGACAAAGGCAUUGCACCUACUUUCUCCUUGAGCAAUUUCCAUUGAUGUCUGUGAUGCUGAUACUGAAUUACAGAAUCCCGAGGAUUCUGUAUUGUUGUAGUUCUAAACCUUUUGCUGUGGAGGUUAGCCUGUGGAUAGGAAGAGUCAAACAAGAACAACUUAUACAGUUUCUCUGGCUAGAAAAUGAACAAUACAUGCUUCCUGUCCUUAUGAUGUUCCCACAUGUGGAUGGUGAAGCAGGCACCAAGAUGACUAAGCUAGAACAACAAGAUUUGGUGAAUCCAGAGCUGACGAAUAACAGUUCAUCUGGCAUGGAAGCAAAGGAAGAAGUUCCAGGGAAGGCAAAGGCCCAAAUUUGUGAAUCUGUGUGCCAUGUGCUGGGGAAAAUUGAAACCUUCCAAUGAACUAGAAUGAAUGUUGUGUGUAUGGGAAGCCUAUGGACUCAAUGAGAAGAAUAAUUAGUGAAUGUGUCCAUGUUGUCUAUAUUUUACAUGGGUCAGAAGGAAGGAUUGAGUGCAGAAGACAAAAUGUUAAUCGGAAGUGGGGUCAUUUUCAUAUUUAGGCUUAAACAAGAAUAUAGACAUUACUAUUAAAGCAUAGAAAUAAAAAAAUGAUGAUAUUUUUAAGUGUCAUAACUUCUAACUAUUUGCCAUCAUAUUUUUGGUUUACUCCCUUUCAAAUACACUUAAGCGUAAGUGUAGCCUAGAAGAGAGCAAGACCCAAUAUUUGGCUAGUUCAGGGAGUGACUUACAAGCAAAGCAGUUCCACCCAUGACCAAUUUCUUAAAUUUCUGGAGCAACCCAAGUAGCAAGACUGGGAAAAUAUGACUGAAUUUGCAAAAAAUCAAGUCACUUCUUUGGAAAGAUGUUAAACUCCAAAGAUCAAUGUAUAGACCUUUCCACUUAGCUUACAACUAGAUAAAACAUUCUUUUGACAUGAAAUGGCUUAGGACAAAUGCUUUAACAAAAGAACUGAUUAAACACUGCUGUUACUAAAGCCUCACAAUAGUUAAUGCACUUAAAGAGUUCUAAAUCGGCUGAGCAUUGACGUCUUAAAGGAUUAUAUUGAGUGUCACCAUAUACACAGGAAAGUCUCCUUCAAAACCUACUAUGGAGUAUAAUGGACUAUACAUGUUAUUGUAAACAAAUUGGCAAGAUUCGAGGUUUUCUCUGGAUUCUAGCAUCUUUAAAAAGAGAAUGUCUGUUGUUUUAUAAAAGCAUUUAUUUACAUCUUUAUCAGGUAUCCUCCAGUCCCAAAUGUGAGAGGUUAGGGCAAUCUGUGGAUUGGGGUGGCUUUCUCUUCUAAGUCACUCCCAGACUAGGGAAGUGACUCAGAAGAGUCACUGAGUGGGGAAACACAGAACCAGGGAUGGCUCUGUAGCUCUGACCUAACUUAAAGCUCCAGAUUGGUCUGACCUUUUCUCACUUUGCGAUUCAGACCUGAAAAAAAUGAGGCCAAAGUUGGCUCAUCUUCCUCCCUUGAAAAUGUUCUAAGGAGAUGAACCACAUCCUGUCCUAUCUCCCCCAAACCAUACCUCAGCACAGGGGCUUGUUUCAUUGGUACAAGAAUAAGUUGUCUUUCUUUUGCUAGAAAGCUCACAACUUUAAAACCUACAAAAAAUGAAUGAAUUAUAAUCUAGAACUUCAGAUAUCUGUAUCAUAAUAGUUGGAUAUGCUUAUGGAGUAUGAUAUGAUCUUUUGCAGCAAAAUCUCACUUUGUACUCAACAAAUACAUACAAUUAUUAUUUGAAAGUUCAAUUAAUUAGUUUAAAAAUCUGUAGAAAUAUCAGUGUCUUCUGGGGAGGAAAUUAUUACGUGCAUGUCAAGAUUUGCCAAAAUUUUAAUACUUUGUUACCCUAUGUCACUUUUGUGAAGUGAUUAUAGGGAUAUUUUUCUAAAUAUAGAGUUUAUCAUAAGGAAGUUUUGUUAACAAUAGAAUCUUAAAAGUGCACUAGGAUAUUCAUUGCAAUUUUGUUUUUAAAAGUAAAAAAACAUUGGCUGGAUGUGGUGGCUUAUGCUUGUAAUCCCAGAACUUUGGGAAUCUGAGGUAGGCAAAUCACUUGAGGCUUGAAGUUCGAGACCAGCCUGGCCAACAUGGUGAAACCCCGUCUCUACUAAAAAUACAAAAAUUAGCUGGGUGUGGUGGUAGGCACCUGUAAUCCAGGUAUGUGGGAGGCUGAGACACGAGGAUCACUUGAACCAAGGAGGUGGAGGUUGCAGUGAGCCGGGAUUGCAGUGAGCCACGGCACUCCACCCUGGGCAACAGAGCAAGACUCCAUGUCAAGGAAGAAAGGAAGGAAGGAAGGCGAGAGAGAGAGAGAGAAAGAAAGAGAGAGAUAAAGAAGAAAGAAAAGAGAAAGAGUAAAAGAAAGAGAAAGAAAGAGAAAGAAGAAAGAAAGAGAAAGAAGAAAGAAGAAAGAAAAGAGAAAGUAAAAGAAAGAGAGAGAAAGAAA
Molecule: long non-coding RNA, 3205 nt
Filed under: Homo sapiens (human)
Lineage: Eukaryota; Metazoa; Chordata; Mammalia; Primates; Hominidae
Description: CNTNAP5 divergent transcript (CNTNAP5-DT)
Source: RNAcentral